This 1273-nucleotide ribosomal RNA is filed under the name metagenome. RNAcentral's name for it is "bacterial LSU rRNA". It matches the Rfam family "Bacterial large subunit ribosomal RNA", at positions 1636 to 2925 of the family's 2925-position model. The record is from RNAcentral.
UUAAGCCCGUACCGUAAACCGACACAGGUGGAUGAGGAGAGAAUCCUAAGGCCGACGGGAGAAGCAUUGUUAAGGAACUCGGCAAAAUGACUCCGUAACUUCGGGAGAAGGAGUGCCAGCGAGAGCUGGCCGCAGAGAAUUGGCCCUAGCAACUGUUUAGCAAAAACACAGGUCUAUGCAAAACCGUAAGGUGAAGUAUAUGGGCUGACGCCUGCCCGGUGCUGGAAGGUUAAGAGGAGAGGUUAGCGGUAACGCGAAGCUUUGAAUUUAAGCCCCAGUAAACGGCGGCCGUAACAAUAACGGUCCUAAGGUAGCGAAAUUCCUUGUCGGGUAAGUUCCGACCCGCACGAAAGGCGUAAUGAUUUGGGCACUGUCUCAACAAUGCACCCGGUGAAAUUGAAAUACCAGUGAAGAUGCUGGUUACCUGCGCCAGGACGGAAAGACCCCAUGGAGCUUUACUCCAGCUUGAUACUGGGAUUCGGUAUUGCAUGUACAGGAUAGGUGGGAGGCUAGGAAGUGAUAACGCCAGUUGUCACGGAGCCGCUGUUGGGAUACCACCCUUGCAGUAUUGGAUUUCUAACCAGCGACCAUGAACUGGUCGGGGGACAAUGUCAGGUGGGGAGUUUGACUGGGGCGGUCGCCUCCGAAAGGGUAUCGGAGGCGCUCAAAGGUUCCCUCAGAAUGGACGGAAACCAUUCGAAGAGUGCAAAGGCAGAAGGGAGCUUGACUGCGACACCGACGGGUGGAGCAGGUACGAAAGUAGGACUUAGUGAUCCGGUGGUAUAAAGUGGGAUUGCCACCGCUCAACGGAUAAAAGCUACCCUGGGAUAACAGGCUUAUCACUCCCAAGAGUUCACAUCGACGGAGUGGUUUGGCACCUCGAUGUCGGCUCAUCGCAUCCUGGGGCUGAAGUAGGUCCCAAGGGUUGGGCUGUUCGCCCAUUAAAGCGGUACGCGAGCUGGGUUCAGAACGUCGUGAGACAGUUCGGUCCCUAUCCGGCGUGGGCGUAGGAUAUUUGAGAGGAGCUGUCCUUAGUACGAGAGGACCGGGAUGGACUGGCCGCUGGUGUAUCUGUUGCAUACCAAAUGCAUGGCAGAGUAGCCAAGCCGGGACGGGAUAAACGCUGAAGGCAUCUAAGCGUGAAGCCCCCCUCAAGAUGAGAUAUCCCUACGUAAGUAGUAAGACCCCUUGAAGACGACGAGGUAGAUAGGUCAGAGGUGGAAGUACAGUAAUGUAUGGAGCUGACUGAUACUAAUCGGUCGAGGGCAUGACC